This 466-nucleotide ribosomal RNA is filed under the name uncultured bacterium. RNAcentral's name for it is "partial 16S ribosomal RNA". It matches the Rfam family "Bacterial small subunit ribosomal RNA", at positions 28 to 507 of the family's 1533-position model. The record is from RNAcentral.
GAUGAACGCUGGCGGCGUGCUUAACACAUGCAAGUCGAACGAUGAAGCCCAGCUUGCUGGGUGGAUUAGUGGCGAACGGGUGAGUAACACGUGAGUAACCUGCCCUUAACUCUGGGAUAAGCCUGGGAAACUGGGUCUAAUACCGGAUAGGAGCGUCCACCGCAUGGUGGGUGUUGGAAAGAUUUAUCGGUUUUGGAUGGACUCGCGGCCUAUCAGCUUGUUGGUGAGGUAAUGGCUCACCAAGGCGACGACGGGUAGCCGGCCUGAGAGGGUGACCGGCCACACUGGGACUGAGACACGGCCCAGACUCCUACGGGAGGCAGCAGUGGGGAAUAUUGCACAAUGGGCGCAAGCCUGAUGCAGCGACGCCGCGUGAGGGAUGACGGCCUUCGGGUUGUGAACCUCUUUCAGUAGGGAAGAAGCGAAAGUGACGGUACCUGCAGAAGAAGCACCGGCUAACUACGUG